GUCGGAGUGGUGGAACUGGCAGACACGCUAGAUUCAGGAUCUAGUGAGGAAACUUGUAGGGGUUCAAAUCCCCUCUCCGACA
This 82-nucleotide transfer RNA is filed under the name Spirochaetales bacterium. RNAcentral's name for it is "tRNA-Leu". It matches the Rfam family "tRNA". Rfam says of the family: Transfer RNA (tRNA) molecules are approximately 80 nucleotides in length. Their secondary structure includes four short double-helical elements and three loops (D, anti-codon, and T loops). Further hydrogen bonds mediate the characteristic L-shaped molecular structure. tRNAs have two regions of fundamental functional importance: the anti-codon, which is responsible for specific mRNA codon recognition, and the 3' end, to which the tRNAs corresponding amino acid is attached (by aminoacyl-tRNA synthetases). tRNAs cope with the degeneracy of the genetic code in two manners: having more than one tRNA (with a specific anti-codon) for a particular amino acid; and 'wobble' base-pairing, i.e. permitting non-standard base-pairing at the 3rd anti-codon position. The record is from RNAcentral. RNAcentral also lists the same sequence under 1 other name. Lineage: Bacteria; Pseudomonadati; Spirochaetota; Spirochaetia; Spirochaetales.